Molecule: unclassified non-coding RNA, 292 nt
Filed under: plant metagenome
Description: partial contains small subunit ribosomal RNA, internal transcribed spacer 1, and 5.8S ribosomal RNA
Source: RNAcentral
UUUCCGUAGGUGAACCUGCGGAAGGAUCAUUAUUGAAUAAACCUGAUGUGGUUGUAGCUGGCCCUUUCGGGAGCAUGUGCGCACCCGUCGUCUUUAUCUUUCCACCUGUGCACCUUUUGUAGACCUGGAUGUAACACUUUCCGAGGCAACUCGGUCGGGAGGAAUGCUGUCAGCUUUCCUUGAAUGUCCUGGCCUAUGUUUUCAUAUACCCCAAAGAAUGUAACAGAAUGUAUUAUUGGGCCUUGUGCCUAUAAACUAUAUACAACUUUCAGCAACGGAUCUCUUGGCUCUC